Molecule: ribosomal RNA, 472 nt
Filed under: uncultured bacterium
Lineage: Bacteria
Description: bacterial SSU rRNA
Rfam family: Bacterial small subunit ribosomal RNA
Source: RNAcentral
UGGGGAAUUUUGGACAAUGGGGGCAACCCUGAUCCAGCCAUGCCGCGUGAGUGAAGAAGGCCUUCGGGUUGUAAAGCUCUUUCGGCGGGGACGAAACGGUCCGUGACAACACCACGGACUAAUGACGGUACUCGCAGAAGAAGCACCGGCUAACUACGUGCCAGCAGCCGCGGUAAUACGUAGGGUGCAGGCGUUAAUCGGAAUUACUGGGCGUAAAGCGUGCGCAGGCGGCUCCUUAAGUCAGAUGUGAAAUCCCCGGGCUUAACCUGGGAACUGCGUUUGAAACUGAGGGGCUAGAGUGUGGAAGAGGGGGGUGGAAUUCCAGGUGUAGCAGUGAAAUGCGUAGAGAUCUGGAGGAACACCGAUGGCGAAGGCAGCCCCCUGGGCUAACACUGACGCUCAUGCACGAAAGCGUGGGGAGCAAACAGGAUUAGAUACCCAAGUAGUCCCUGAGCGGGCUGGCAAGGCGCAU